RNAcentral lists this ribosomal RNA (465 nucleotides) under uncultured bacterium. Its description in RNAcentral is "partial 16S ribosomal RNA". It matches the Rfam family "Bacterial small subunit ribosomal RNA", at positions 338 to 795 of the family's 1533-position model. The record is from RNAcentral.
CCUACGGGAGGCUGCAGUGGGGAAUUUUGCGCAAUGCUCGUAAGAGUGACGCAGCGACGCCGCGUGAAUGACGAAGGCCUUCGGGUCGUAAAGUUCUUUCGACAGGGAAGAAAAUGCCUAUAAGUAACUGUGUAUGUAUUGACGGUACCUGUAUAAGCAGCCCCGGCUAACUCCGUGCCAGCAGCCGCGGUAAUACGGAGGGGGCGAGCGUUGUUCGGAGGGACUGGGCGUAAAGAGCACGUAGGCGGUGUUGUAAGUCAUUAGUCAAAGACUAGAGCUAAACUUUAGUAAGGCUAGUGAUACAAUAAUACUAGAGUAUCAGAGAGGAUUGCAGAAUUCCUGGUGUAGCGGUGAAAUGCGUAGAUAUCAGGAGGAAUACCGUUAGCGAAGGCGGCAAUCUGGCUGGAAACUGACGCUGAGGUGCGAAAGCGUGGGUAGCAAACAGGAUUAGAUACCCUGGUAGUC